Molecule: ribosomal RNA, 490 nt
Filed under: uncultured bacterium
Lineage: Bacteria
Description: partial 16S ribosomal RNA
Rfam family: Bacterial small subunit ribosomal RNA
Source: RNAcentral
AUUGAACGCUGGCGGCAGGCCUAACACAUGCAAGUCGAACGGUAACAGGAAGAUGCUUGCUUCUUUGCUGGCGAGUGGCGGACGGGUGAGUAAUGUCUGGGAAACUGCCUGAUGGAGGGGGAUAACUACUGGAAACGGUAGCUAAUACCGCAUAACGUCGCAAGUCCAAAGAGGGGGACCUUCGGGCCGCUUGCCAUCGGAUGUGCCCAGAUGGGAUUAGCUAGUAGGUGGGGUAACGGCUCACCUAGGCGACGAUCCCUAGCUGGUCUGAGAGGAUGACCAGCCACACUGGAACUGAGACACGGUCCCGACUCCUACGGGAGGCAGCAGUGGGGAAUAGUGCGCAAUAGGCGCAAGCCUGAUGCAGCCAUGCCGAGCGUAUGACGGAGGCCUUCGGGUUGUAAAGUCCGUUCAGCGGGGAGGAAGCGAGUAAAGUUAAUACCUUUCCUCAUUGACGUUACCCGCAGAAGAAGCACCGGCUAACUACGUG